GCCGGGGUGGUGGAACGGCAGACACGGAGCACUCAAAAUGCUCUGCCCGCAAGGGCGUGCGGGUUCAAGUCCCGCUCCCGGCAC
This 84-nucleotide transfer RNA is filed under the name Phycicoccus endophyticus. Its description in RNAcentral is "tRNA-Leu". It matches the Rfam family "tRNA". Rfam says of the family: Transfer RNA (tRNA) molecules are approximately 80 nucleotides in length. Their secondary structure includes four short double-helical elements and three loops (D, anti-codon, and T loops). Further hydrogen bonds mediate the characteristic L-shaped molecular structure. tRNAs have two regions of fundamental functional importance: the anti-codon, which is responsible for specific mRNA codon recognition, and the 3' end, to which the tRNAs corresponding amino acid is attached (by aminoacyl-tRNA synthetases). tRNAs cope with the degeneracy of the genetic code in two manners: having more than one tRNA (with a specific anti-codon) for a particular amino acid; and 'wobble' base-pairing, i.e. permitting non-standard base-pairing at the 3rd anti-codon position. Lineage: Bacteria; Bacillati; Actinomycetota; Actinomycetes; Micrococcales; Intrasporangiaceae. The record is from RNAcentral.